GUAUCUUCGGAUAUGAGUAGAGCGGCGGACGGGUGAGUAACGCGUAGGAAUCUACCUAGUAGAAGGGGAUAGCCCGGGGAAACCCGGAUUAAUACCGUAUACCUCCUUCGGGAGAAAGAAGGCCUCUCUUUGAAGCUUUCGCUACUAGAUGAGCCUGCGUAAGAUUAGCUUGUUGGUGAGGUAAAGGCUCACCAAGGCGACGAUCUUUAGCUGGUCUGAGAGGACGAUCAGCCACAUUGGGACUGAGACACGGCCCAGACUCCUACGGGAGGCAGCAGUGGGGAAUAUUGGACAAUGGGCGCAAGCCUGAUCCAGCCAUACCGCGUGUGUGAAGAAGGCCUUCGGGUUGUAAAGCACUUUAAGCAGGGAGAAAAAGUUAUAAGUUAAUACCUUAUAACCCUGAUGUUACCUGCAGAAUAAGCACCGGCUAAUUCCGUGCCAGCAGCCGCGGUAAUACGGAAGGUGCAAGCGUUAAUCGGAAUUACUGGGCGUAAAGCGCGCGUAGGUGGUUUGUUAAGUUGGAUGUGAAAGCCCUGGGCUUAACCUAGGAACUGCAUCCAAAACUAACUCACUAGAGUACGAUAGAGGGAGGUAGAAUUCAUAGUGUAGCGGUGGAAUGCGUAGAUAUUAUGAAGAAUACCAGUGGCGAAGGCGGCCUCCUGGAUCUGUACUGACACUGAGGUGCGAAAGCGUGGGUAGCGAACAGGAUUAGAUACCCUGGUAGUCCACGCCGUAAACGAUGACAACUAGCCGUUGGGAGACAAUGUC
RNAcentral lists this ribosomal RNA (768 nucleotides) under gamma proteobacterium SCGC AAA076-K13. Its description in RNAcentral is "bacterial SSU rRNA". It matches the Rfam family "Bacterial small subunit ribosomal RNA", at positions 74 to 837 of the family's 1533-position model. The record is from RNAcentral. Lineage: Bacteria; Pseudomonadati; Pseudomonadota; Gammaproteobacteria.